Long non-coding RNA from Dermacentor andersoni, 1060 nucleotides. RefSeq lists it as uncharacterized. Lineage: Eukaryota; Metazoa; Arthropoda; Arachnida; Ixodida; Ixodidae. The record is from RefSeq and is a predicted model, not a curated record.
GUGUGUGGCGCGUUGGAAGGCCGCGAAGACGCAGUCAAGGAACGUGUGGGCAUCGAGCUGCAGCCGAAAAUCAACUGCAGCGUGUUAAGGUAAGUGUAGUGUGUUCUGCUUAUAUGCUUCUUCGUCUGUUUACAUGCUUCGUUCGUGCAGCACGUGUUCUGUGAGGCACAUAGCUCACGAGAAGCACGCUAGUUCUCAAGCGUAAUGUACUACACGCUCCGACGGCCGUGGGCGCGAGACUGCCGUUUAGAGACGUGCUUCUGCGUAAAGCGGAAAAGCGGAAACCACACAACCGCGAUCUUUCGCGCGUGACUCGCGGCCUCAUGGUUCAGCCACGUGCAGCGAUUUUCAGGGGCUGCCUGCACCCACGUGUAAAAAAAAAAAAAAAAAAUCUUCAUGUGAGGGACACUGAAGCGUACGAAGAGAAUUGGCGCACGUUAAUUGAAGAGAGUAGAAGAAAGUCGUUUUUAGUGCCCCUAUCAUGCAGGCACAUAUAUCCCGAUCGAGUCUGACUUUCGAUCACUGCUACGCGGGCCAAGGAUCUAAAACGAGUUGGUCGAGCUCUGGCGCGCUAUGCGUCGCUGUUUAAAUGCAGAACACCUGAUGAAUGUGCUUAAUAGGCAGUAAAAGUAGUUGUAAUUACCAUUCUUUACAUUUUCAUUUGUUAUUCAGGCUAAGACAUGUGCUAUGACUACCAGAUUCGUAAAAUUAUGCGUCAAUAAAACCAGACUACUUUUCGUGCACUGUUGUUUAGAUCAGCCUUUUCUGCGUUAUUUCUUACGCUCUUUAUUUCUUUUCUUUUUUCUCUCCUCGCUUCCUGGCACACCGAGUUAUGGGGAGCAUACGUCGGUGUCCGGUGGCGAUAGGACAGCUCGAUCCUGUUGCGGACGUGGCGUACCCUCCCGACUGCCCCCUCACCAUGGAGUUUUUGCAGAGGUACCUUGGGCAGAUCAACCCAACGAAAGGGCGCGGCAAAGGCAGGGCCGGCGGAAUCGCGCCAAGGUUACUCAGCCUGCUGAAAGCACUUUAAUUUAUGAAUAAAUGUGCAAGUAGAGAUGUA